UAUUGCAAUCAGUCAAUUAAAGUGAUUUUUUUUUUUCCUGGAUGUCUCAUUUAGAGAUUUUGUAGCAUUUUGCAAAUGGGUAUGCUUCACUACUAUCCAAAGUGUUCUCCCCUUUAGUAAUUCAUAUUGAAUGUAUCCAUAUUCAUAUGCAUUUUAUAAAAUGAUUAACAGAACCUAAGUAACAGCCUGCUAAACCUGGAAUAUGAGUGCUACCGUAGGUUAUGAGUUCAACAAACUGAUUUUGAAAAAGCCACCUAACCUCUCUGGACCUUGUUUGUAAAGUUUCUUCUAGCACUAUUACUCUUAUCUAAGAUCGAAUUUGAUAUAUGGAUGAAAUUCCUAAUGGAAUUUCAAUAACCAUCACAAAGUAAUUUUUUAGAAUAUUCCAUACAGAUUUCCUUCUCAUUUCUCUGGGUAGAUACUUAAAGUAUGAAACUGAUUAUUUAAACUAACAUGUGGAAAGAACCUAAUCCAGAGCUUGGAAUAUAGAAAGUGCUCAAUUAACUGACAUUCCUCCUGUAUUUCCUCCCUCCCUUUAGUUGUCUAUGACUUUUGAACUCACUACUCCCUGACACCUUAACUGCCUGCAGAAAAAUCAAUCAUAUUUGGGGCAUUAUUUUGAAAUAUUUUAGUUUUCUGUACCAUGAAGAUUCUUAUUACAAAAAUCUGAAGAUAUUUAUUGAUGCAAAAAAUUUAGGGAGUCAUUGGAAAUACCUAAGGCAAUCCCAAGCUAACGAUAAAAUAGCAUAAUUUUAAGUAAGCUACACUGAGUUCAUUUAGAACAUUUAGCUAUUUUUUAACUCAUAGUCAACAUAUGUCCAUGCAUUUGAUUUACUUUAAAAAUACUUUUAUUUAAAAAUAACCUCUCUAACACCAGUUGCUUCCUCUCAGUUUUACUCAAAGCACGUUUCCUAGGUCACCUGACCUAGAAUCACCAGAAGUGUUAACAAUACCGAUUUCUGGGCUUUGAGCCAUGAAAUUAGAAUUUCUUCAAAUAAUCCAUGCCCUCCUGCCAUCCAAAAAAA
This 1025-nucleotide long non-coding RNA is filed under the name Macaca fascicularis (crab-eating macaque). RNAcentral's name for it is "lncRNA (ENSMFAG00000056759.1)". Lineage: Eukaryota; Metazoa; Chordata; Mammalia; Primates; Cercopithecidae. The record is from RNAcentral.